GACCGCGUAGCUCAGUUGGAAGAGCAUUGGGCUAGUAUUCCAAAGGUCGUAGGUUCGAAUCACACCGUGGCCG
This is a non-coding RNA of Paramuricea clavata, 73 nucleotides long. Lineage: Eukaryota; Metazoa; Cnidaria; Anthozoa; Malacalcyonacea; Plexauridae. The record is from the annotation of a GenBank genome assembly.